RNAcentral lists this non-coding RNA (93 nucleotides) under Rhodnius prolixus. RNAcentral's name for it is "sRNA-Xcc1". It matches the Rfam family "sRNA-Xcc1". Lineage: Eukaryota; Metazoa; Arthropoda; Insecta; Hemiptera; Reduviidae. The record is from Rfam by way of RNAcentral.
GGUCGGGUAGCGAGCAGAACAUACAACACCCUUGUUUAAGGGAAAAACUGCUGGCCGUCUACUUGCGGUGUUGAAGUACCUGACCGCCCUCUC